UACGGGGGGGGCAAGCGUUGUUCGGAAUUACUGGGCGUAAAGGGUUCGUAGGUGGCCUACUAAGUCAGACGUGAAAUCCCUCAGCUCAACUGGGGAACUGCGUCUGAGACUGGAAGGCUUGAGUGCAGGAGAGGAACGCGGAAUUCCAGGUGUAGCGGUGAAAUGCGUAGAUAUCUGGAGGAGCACCGGUGGCGAAGGCGGCGUUCUGGACUGUUACUGACACUGAGGAACGAAAGCCAGGGGAGCAAACGGG
Molecule: ribosomal RNA, 253 nt
Filed under: uncultured bacterium
Lineage: Bacteria
Description: partial 16S ribosomal RNA
Rfam family: Bacterial small subunit ribosomal RNA
Source: RNAcentral